RNAcentral lists this ribosomal RNA (2931 nucleotides) under Escherichia coli. RNAcentral describes it as "23S ribosomal RNA". It matches the Rfam family "Bacterial large subunit ribosomal RNA". Lineage: Bacteria; Pseudomonadati; Pseudomonadota; Gammaproteobacteria; Enterobacterales; Enterobacteriaceae. The record is from RNAcentral.
GGGUUGUGAGGUUAAGCGACUAAGCGUACACGGUGGAUGCCCUGGCAGUCAGAGGCGAUGAAGGACGUGCUAAUCUGCGAUAAGCGUCGGUAAGGUGAUAUGAACCGUUAUAACCGGCGAUUUCCGAAUGGGGAAACCCAGUGUGUUUCGACACACUAUCAUUAACUGAAUCCAUAGGUUAAUGAGGCGAACCGGGGGAACUGAAACAUCUAAGUACCCCGAGGAAAAGAAAUCAACCGAGAUUCCCCCAGUAGCGGCGAGCGAACGGGGAGCAGCCCAGAGCCUGAAUCAGUGUGUGUGUUAGUGGAAGCGUCUGGAAAGGCGCGCGAUACAGGGUGACAGCCCCGUACACAAAAAUGCACAUACUGUGAGCUCGAUGAGUAGGGCGGGACACGUGGUAUCCUGUCUGAAUAUGGGGGGACCAUCCUCCAAGGCUAAAUACUCCUGACUGACCGAUAGUGAACCAGUACCGUGAGGGAAAGGCGAAAAGAACCCCGGCGAGGGGAGUGAAAAAGAACCUGAAACCGUGUACGUACAAGCAGUGGGAGCCUCUUAAUGGGGUGACUGCGUACCUUUUGUAUAAUGGGUCAGCGACUUAUAUUCUGUAGCAAGGUUAACCGAAUAGGGGAGCCGAAGGGAAACCGAGUCUUAACUGGGCGUUAAGUUGCAGGGUAUAGACCCGAAACCCGGUGAUCUAGCCAUGGGCAGGUUGAAGGUUGGGUAACACUAACUGGAGGACCGAACCGACUAAUGUUGAAAAAUUAGCGGAUGACUUGUGGCUGGGGGUGAAAGGCCAAUCAAACCGGGAGAUAGCUGGUUCUCCCCGAAAGCUAUUUAGGUAGCGCCUCGUGAAUUCAUCUCCGGGGGUAGAGCACUGUUUCGGCAAGGGGGUCAUCCCGACUUACCAACCCGAUGCAAACUGCGAAUACCGGAGAAUGUUAUCACGGGAGACACACGGCGGGUGCUAACGUCCGUCGUGAAGAGGGAAACAACCCAGACCGCCAGCUAAGGUCCCAAAGUCAUGGUUAAGUGGGAAACGAUGUGGGAAGGCCCAGACAGCCAGGAUGUUGGCUUAGAAGCAGCCAUCAUUUAAAGAAAGCGUAAUAGCUCACUGGUCGAGUCGGCCUGCGCGGAAGAUGUAACGGGGCUAAACCAUGCACCGAAGCUGCGGCAGCGACACUAUGUGUUGUUGGGUAGGGGAGCGUUCUGUAAGCCUGUGAAGGUGUACUGUGAGGUAUGCUGGAGGUAUCAGAAGUGCGAAUGCUGACAUAAGUAACGAUAAAGCGGGUGAAAAGCCCGCUCGCCGGAAGACCAAGGGUUCCUGUCCAACGUUAAUCGGGGCAGGGUGAGUCGACCCCUAAGGCGAGGCCGAAAGGCGUAGUCGAUGGGAAACAGGUUAAUAUUCCUGUACUUGGUGUUACUGCGAAGGGGGGACGGAGAAGGCUAUGUUGGCCGGGCGACGGUUGUCCCGGUUUAAGCGUGUAGGCUGGUUUUCCAGGCAAAUCCGGAAAAUCAAGGCUGAGGCGUGAUGACGAGGCACUACGGUGCUGAAGCAACAAAUGCCCUGCUUCCAGGAAAAGCCUCUAAGCAUCAGGUAACAUCAAAUCGUACCCCAAACCGACACAGGUGGUCAGGUAGAGAAUACCAAGGCGCUUGAGAGAACUCGGGUGAAGGAACUAGGCAAAAUGGUGCCGUAACUUCGGGAGAAGGCACGCUGAUAUGUAGGUGAAGUCCCUUGCGGAUGGAGCUGAAAUCAGUCGAAGAUACCAGCUGGCUGCAACUGUUUAUUAAAAACACAGCACUGUGCAAACACGAAAGUGGACGUAUACGGUGUGACGCCUGCCCGGUGCCGGAAGGUUAAUUGAUGGGGUUAGCGGUAACGCGAAGCUCUUGAUCGAAGCCCCGGUAAACGGCGGCCGUAACUAUAACGGUCCUAAGGUAGCGAAAUUCCUUGUCGGGUAAGUUCCGACCUGCACGAAUGGCGUAAUGAUGGCCAGGCUGUCUCCACCCGAGACUCAGUGAAAUUGAACUCGCUGUGAAGAUGCAGUGUACCCGCGGCAAGACGGAAAGACCCCGUGAACCUUUACUAUAGCUUGACACUGAACAUUGAGCCUUGAUGUGUAGGAUAGGUGGGAGGCUUUGAAGUGUGGACGCCAGUCUGCAUGGAGCCGGCCUUGAAAUACCACCCUUUAAUGUUUGAUGUUCUAACGUUGGCCCCUGAUCGGGGUUGCGGACAGUGUCUGGUGGGUAGUUUGACUGGGGCGGUCUCCUCCUAAAGAGUAACGGAGGAGCACGAAGGUUGGCUAAUCCUGGUCGGACAUCAGGAGGUUAGUGCAAUGGCAUAAGCCAGCUUGACUGCGAGCGUGACGGCGCGAGCAGGUGCGAAAGCAGGUCAUAGUGAUCCGGUGGUUCUGAAUGGAAGGGCCAUCGCUCAACGGAUAAAAGGUACUCCGGGGAUAACAGGCUGAUACCGCCCAAGAGUUCAUAUCGACGGCGGUGUUUGGCACCUCGAUGUCGGCUCAUCACAUCCUGGGGCUGAAGUAGGUCCCAAGGGUAUGGCUGUUCGCCAUUUAAAGUGGUACGCGAGCUGGGUUUAGAACGUCGUGAGACAGUUCGGUCCCUAUCUGCCGUGGGCGCUGGAGAACUGAGGGGGGCUGCUCCUAGUACGAGAGGACCGGAGUGGACGCAUCACUGGUGUUCGGGUUGUCAUGCCAAUGGCACUGCCCGGUAGCUAAAUGCGGAAGAGAUAAGUGCUGAAAGCAUCUAAGCACGAAACUUGCCCCGAGAUGAGUUCUCCCUGACUCUUUAAGGGUCCUGAAGGAACGUUGAAGACGACGACGUUGAUAGGCCGGGUGUGUAAGCGCAGCGAUGCGUUGAGCUAACCGGUACUAAUGAACCGUGAGGCUUAACCUUACAACGCCGAAGGUGUUU